GAUAAGAGAGACUUUGGGCAGUUCUGCUCAGUUGUGGGGCUCAGGAAGCAGAGCUCUGGGGGUGUCUCCACCAUGGCCUGGACCCCUCUCCUCCUCACCCUCCUCACUCUCUGCCCAGGGUCCUGGGCACAGUCAGGGCUGACCCAGGAAGCCUCGGUGUCAGGGUCCCUGGGACAGACAGUCACUCUGACAUGCAAGGGGAGCAGCUCUUACCUUGGAUCUUAUGGCGCUGGCUGGUACCAGCAGCUCCCUGGGGGCACCCCCAAGACUGUGAUGCUCAGAACUUCUCGGCCCUUGGGGAUCCCAGCUCGGUUCUCUGGCUCCAAGGCGAGUGGCACAGCUUCCCUGACCAUCACGGGGCUCCAGCCUGAGGACGAGGCUGUCUAUUACUGCUCAACAUGGGACAGUAGCAUCAGUGGUCCACAGUGCUCCAGACACAUGGGGAACUGAGACAGAAACCUGCCCCUGCCCCCUGAGGCUGGUCU
Choloepus didactylus (southern two-toed sloth) is the source of this 485-nucleotide non-coding RNA. Lineage: Eukaryota; Metazoa; Chordata; Mammalia; Pilosa; Megalonychidae. The record is from the annotation of a RefSeq genome assembly.